AAAAAAAACAUGACAGCAGUAUAAAAAUCCGAUUUGCCUAAAGGACAUUUCUUUAAGGCAAGGAAUUUCAUUGCAAUACCUGUCCCGCCGUAAACCUAAGGUUUCCUGGGGAAGGUAAAUCCGCCCAGGGUUAGUCGGAGCCUAAGCUGAGGCCGAAGGGCGUAGGCGAUGGACAACCGGUCAACAUUCCGGUACUACCGAAUGAUCGCUUUAAGUGAUGGGGGGACACAGUAGGGUAGGUCAGCACGAUAAAAGUUACGUGUCCAAGCCUGAUAUGGGAGAAGACAGGCAAAUCCGUCUUCUAUUAAACCCUAAGAGGUGAUAGGGAGCUGCCACGGCAGCGAACUGACUGAUCCCACACUGUCAAGAAAAGCCUCUAAACAAGAUCAUGCGGUAUCCGUACUAAAACCGACACAGGUAGGUAGGUAGAGAAUACCAAGGCGCUCGAGAUAACCCUCGUUAAGGAACUCGGCAAAAUGACUCCGUAACUUCGGGAGAAGGAGUACCCCAUUAAGGUGAGUUGAUUUACUCAUACAAGCCUGAAGGGGUUGCAAAAAAACGGCCCAAGCGACUGUUUACUAAAAACACAGGUCUCUGCUAAAUCGCAAGAUGAUGUAUAGGGACUGACGCCUGCCCGGUGCUGGAAGGUUAAGGAAGGAGGUUACUUCUCCCUCGGGAGAGGGAAGCUUCUGACCGAAGCCCCAGUAAACGGCGGCCGUAACUAUAACGGUCCUAAGGUAGCGAAAUUCCUUGUCGGGUAAGUUCCGACCCGCACGAAUGGCGUAACGAUUUGGGCACUGUCUCAACGAGGGACUCGGUGAAAUUGUAGUGUAAGUGAAGAUGCUUACUACCCGCGACAGGACGGAAAGACCCCGUGAACCUUUACUGUAACCUGAUAUUGAAUUUUAGCAUAUCCUGUGUAGGAUAGGUGGUAGGCGAUGAAGGAGGGGCGCAAGCUUCUCUGGAGCCAUCCUUGAAAUACCACCCUUGGUAUGUUUGGAUUCUAACCUUUGACCGUUAUCCGGCAAAGGGACAGUAUUUGGUGGGCAGUUUGACUGGGGCGGUCACCUCCUAAAGAGUAACGGAGGUGUCCCAAGGUCUCCUCAGUGUGGUUGGAAAUCACACCUAAGAGUAUAAGGGCAGAAGGAGGCUUAACUGCGAGAGAGACAUCUCGAGCAGAUGCGAAAGCAGGGCCUAGUGAUCCGGCGGUAACUAGUGGAUGUGCCGUCGCUUAACGGAUAAAAGGUACUCCGGGGAUAACAGGCUUAUCUCCCCCAAGAGUCCAUAUCGACGGGGAGGUUUGGCACCUCGAUGUCGGCUCGUCGCAUCCUGGGGCUGAAGCAGGUCCCAAGGGUUUGGCUGUUCGCCAAUUAAAGCGGUACGCGAGCUGGGUUUAGAACGUCGUGAGACAGUUCGGUCCCUAUCCGUCGUGGGCGUAGGAUACUUGAAGAGGGUCUGCCUCUAGUACGAGAGGACCGAGGUGGACGAACCUCUGGUGAACCAGUUGUCCUGCUCAGGGCACCGCUGGGUAGCUAUGUUCGGUCGGGAUAAACGCUGAAAGCAUCUAAGCGUGAAACCCACCUCAAGAUGAGGUAUCCCGUCUGGAUUUUUCCAGAGAGAGACCCCGGGUAGACUACCCGGUUGAUAGGUCAGAAGUGUAAGGGCAGCAAUGUCUUUAGCUAACUGAUACUAAUAGGUCGAGGGCUUGAUCG
This 1712-nucleotide ribosomal RNA is filed under the name Atribacteria bacterium JGI 0000014-F07. RNAcentral describes it as "bacterial LSU rRNA". It matches the Rfam family "Bacterial large subunit ribosomal RNA", at positions 1302 to 2925 of the family's 2925-position model. Lineage: Bacteria; Pseudomonadati; Atribacterota. The record is from RNAcentral.